AGGGUCCUCCCACCCCGGCGUGGGCCAUCCCGGCCCAGCCCUCCCGAGGCCCCGGGUACUCGCCUUACGCGCGGGUCGCGGAGUUCGAAAAGCGAGACAGGGUCUCACUUUGUCACCCAGGCUGGAGUGUAGUGGGGCAAUCUCAGCUCAUUGCGCCUCCGCCUCUGGGUCCAAGCUAUCCUCCCACGUCAGCCUCCCAAGUAGCUGGGAUUACAGGCGCGCACCGUCAGCCAAGACAUAGUCUCAUCACUGUGUCACCCAGGCUGGAAUGUAGUAGUGAAAUCUCAGCUCUCUGCAACCUUCACCUCCCGGAUUCAAGUGAUUCUCCUGCCUCAGCUUCCUGAGUAGCUGGGAUUACAGUACGAGGGAUAUUUCUGCUGACAAUUCAACAUUCAAAGGGAUGAGUGUAUGACGUCUCUAAGAGAUGUCAUAGAGUGCAUGUAGAAGGGACUUUUUAUGGAGAACUACUUCUCAAAUCACUAGUCACAUCCUGGUAGAAGUCAAGCAAUGAAGAUGGCACAGAAACAUAUCCCAAAUACUAUGAUACCAUAAAGUAUACUGUAGCAAUGCAUCUGGCACACCCUCAUUUGAACAUCUGUCUCAGAAGAUUUUGACAGAAGAUAAAACUGUCUAGCUUUUAUUUCAUUGGUUUCAUGAAAAUUUAUUUCACUGGUUUCAUGUCACAGGCCCGUGACUGUAUAAAGAGUCAUAAUCUUUACAAACACAACAAUGACUCACAGAGACAUGUUGCAAAGCUGUAAUCAAAAACACUGAUGUUAAUUUCAGAGGCCAUUAAUGGUGUUAAGAAGGAGCUUUUGUUAACCAAAUAAUUGAAUACUCCUAGUUACUUUUCAGUUCUAGUUCAGUUCUUGACACCAAAAUAAACCAUUUUCUUUACAUAGUGAAUGUAGAACUUGCCAAUAAGAACUUUCAAUACUAAACUUCUAUGUAAAACAAAACAUCUCAAAAUCAAUAAUACUUUAAUGGAAUGGUGAAGAAUUUACUUAAACACAAAGGAAUGAAAAUAUCUCUGCAAAUAUGUCUAUUGACUUUUCAAAUUUGGUGACCUCUUUCGAAUUAAUUCCCUUACCUCUGUUCCUCAUCCACAUAAAAAUGACAAAAAUGAAAGAUAAUUUUCCAGCCUAUAAUUAAAUUUCUCCAUUGUUGGUGUGUGUUUUUUUCAAAUACAUUUUUCAGUUUUCAUAAUUCAUAUGAGAAUUAUUAAAAGGGAGUUAGUUGCCUUCGAGGACCUUAUUUGGAGCCUACUUCUUAAAAAUUGUGUAAAAAUAAUUGUGGCUUUUAAGAGACAAUUGGAAAUUUGAACCUGACCACAUAUUUUGUGAUAUUAAGGAAUUUUAUUAAUUAUUUUCUAGGUAGGGGAAUGACAUGAUGAUAUUCUUAAAAUAAUGUGUGGAUUGCUUAUUACAUUUCAACAUUUUCUUAAUCAUCAAA
This 1452-nucleotide non-coding RNA is filed under the name Pongo abelii (Sumatran orangutan). The record is from RNAcentral. Lineage: Eukaryota; Metazoa; Chordata; Mammalia; Primates; Hominidae.